This 842-nucleotide long non-coding RNA is filed under the name Zonotrichia albicollis (white-throated sparrow). RNAcentral describes it as "lncRNA (ENSZALG00000011091.1)". Lineage: Eukaryota; Metazoa; Chordata; Aves; Passeriformes; Passerellidae. The record is from RNAcentral.
CCAUGGAUUCAGUUGCAUGGUAGAGAACAUAAGACUUCAAGCUGCUGAUUAUACCCUUUCUACUUGGCCUUUCUAACACAAAGAUAAUAUAUUCACAUCAGCUGGAUAUCAGAGGCAUCUAUGUACAAAUACCAUGAUGGUUUAGGACUGUCUGUGAAAACCAGAAGCCAGCCUAGAUCCCUGGAGCACACGAGCCUUACUGAUAAUGAAACUCUUGGUUCUGUCUCAUUGAGCUCCCUGAUUUGUCUGCUUUUCCAUCUCCUGAGACACCUGCCACCCUAGUUCUUAGGCAUGGGGAAUUAACACAGCAUUAUUGUCCAAAGAGACAGCAAGACGUCCUCUCUUUUGUGAAUCACUGGCAUGUGCUCCUCAUGGCUGUUUUUGCUUCUUCCCUUUCUCCUACAUGAUGCAGCCAGGAAAGGAGGACACAUUUCAAGAAAAAUUUGGAGCCAUAAUUCUAAGGACAGCAGCUGUCCCAUACAGGCUUGAAGCUAUCCUCAUCUUGAGUACGUGGCUUGAUGAUCUUCUUCUGGCAGGAGGCAGUAGGAGUUUUUGGGAAAAACAAAUUGAAUGGGGAAAGCAAAGGAAAUGUCUGAAGCAGGAGACGGAGAAAAGACAAAGAAAGGUGACAAAGAGAAAAACACAGCAAACCUACAAAAUUCAGCUUCUCUUUCUGAUGCUGACUCUACUUUCCAAUGUGGGGGAAAAGAACCAAAGUGCACAUUCCUAUUAACUCCCCAAGAACUCGUACUCAUGCUAGACUGUUUAUGUUGACUUAGCUGCAUUUUGGUGACCAGAUCCCAGAAGGUUUGUGAAAUAAAUUAUCUUGUCUGGCUAACCCA